Molecule: long non-coding RNA, 890 nt
Organism: Lontra canadensis (Northern American river otter)
Lineage: Eukaryota; Metazoa; Chordata; Mammalia; Carnivora; Mustelidae
Exons: 5
Source: RefSeq, a predicted model, not a curated record
GGGGACCUCAUGUGGAGGAAGGAAAACGAACUGGUUCUCAGGGUUCUUGCCGGAGAGGGGGAGACAGGUUGAGGCGAGGGCAAAAGAGAGAUGAGGCUGAGUCAAGGCUAAGUGAGGACCCCAAACCCGGGAGAACACAGAAAGAACACUGAGGCUGGGCUCAUGGAAGGAACCGCGGAACAGAGGAGGGACUCCUUUGCCAGGGCUCGGGAUGGAGCGGGAAUAGCGCCUCUGAGUCACAGCAGUUGGGGAAAUCGGGUCUUUCUGGACCACGACUGAGAAGGAUGUCAGUCCGUGAACCAUGGAGCAUAACAGAGCGUGGAGAGGACCCGGCUCUUACCUGAGAGGCCGAAGAGCCCCGGGCCCAGGGCAGCCCAGAGGCCGAGCAACGCCCGGCACAGCCCCGGCGAAGGCCCCGGCAUCGCCGCCGCGGGGGAAGCGCAGGAGGCGAGGAGAGCGCGAGCGCUGAGCUGGGCGAGAGGACCGCGCGGCGGGCCGGGUGAUCAUCAAGACGUUGCCAGGACGCGAGUCUGUGACACCCCACGUGGGCCAUCCGAAUUUUCCUUCCCCGCAGUCACAACAUGGGUAUCUUUUCUUCGUAUCUUCGUCCCUCAACGUGUCAUGUGACCCCGUCCAUUUGCUCUCUCACCGCCAGCGCUAACGGUGAACUGUGGGGGUAGACGGCCCCCACGACGAGAAGGAUCCCCACAAGAGCCGCGAUGGAGCUGGAGGCCAAGGCUUUGGACGCGGGACGCCAAGCUGGGGACGGGAGUGCCCGGGAUCGCAGAGGUGCCUCACCGAGGCCACUCAGCGUUAUGGGUGCCGAGCUGCUGCGGACCACCAGGCCAUCAAGACUGAGGCGUGCGUGGCAGGUCACCGGUUUCCAGAAG